AAAUCAGGUAGGACUACCCGCUGAACUUAAGCAUAUCAAUAAGCGGAGGAAAAGAAACUAACAAGGAUUCCCCUAGUAACUGCGAGUGAAGCGGGAAAAGCUCAAAUUUGUAAUCUGGCGGUCUUGGGCCGUCCGAAUUGUAAACUAGAGAAGUGUUAUCCGCGCUGGACCGUGUACAAGUCCCCUGGAAUGGGGCGUCAUAGAGGGUGAGAAUCCCGUCUUUGACACGGACUACCAGGGCUUUGUGAUGCGCUCUCAAAGAGUCGAGUUGUUUGGGAAUGCAGCUCAAAAUGGGUGGUAAAUUCCAUCUAAAGCUAAAUAUUGGCGAGAGACCGAUAGCGAACAAGUACCGUGAGGGAAAGAUGAAAAGAACUUUGGAAAGAGAGUUAAACAGUACGUGAAAUUGCUGAAAGGGAAACGCUUGAAGUCAGUCGCGUUAACUAGGGAUCAGCCUUACUUCUGUGGGGUGUACUUCCUUGUUGACGGGUCAGCAUCAGUUUUGGCUGCUGGAUAAAGGCUAGGGGAAUGUGGCAUCUUCGGAUGUGUUAUAGCCCUUGGUUGGAUACAGUGGCUGGGACUGAGGAACUCAGCACGCGCAAGUUGUGCUUAGGAUGCUGGCAAAAUGGCUUUAUCGAC
Molecule: ribosomal RNA, 636 nt
Filed under: Hohenbuehelia concurrens
Lineage: Eukaryota; Fungi; Basidiomycota; Agaricomycetes; Agaricales; Pleurotaceae
Also listed under: 1 other name
Description: eukaryotic LSU rRNA
Rfam family: Eukaryotic large subunit ribosomal RNA
Source: RNAcentral